GAUGAACGCCGGCGGCGUGCCUAAUACAUGCAAGUCGAGCGAACAGGCGAGGAGCUUGCUCCUCUGACGUUAGCGGCGGACGGGUGAGUAACACGUGGAUAACCUACCUAUAAGACUGGGAUAACUUCGGGAAACCGGAGCUAAUACCGGAUAAUAUAUUGAACCGCAUGGUUCAAUAGUGAAAGACGGUUUUGCUGUCACUUAUAGAUGGAUCCGCGCCGCAUUAGCUAGUUGGUAAGGUAACGGCUUACCAAGGCAACGAUGCGUAGCCGACCUGAGAGGGUGAUCGGCCACACUGGAACUGAGACACGGUCCAGACUCCUACGGGAGGCAGCAGUAGGGAAUCUUCCGCAAUGGGCGAAAGCCUGACGGAGCAACGCCGCGUGAGUGAUGAAGGUCUUCGGAUCGUAAAACUCUGUUAUUAGGGAAGAACAAAUGUGUAAGUAACUAUGCACGUCUUGACGGUACCUAAUCAGAAAGCCACGGCUAACUACGUG
Molecule: ribosomal RNA, 497 nt
Filed under: uncultured bacterium
Lineage: Bacteria
Description: partial 16S ribosomal RNA
Rfam family: Bacterial small subunit ribosomal RNA
Source: RNAcentral